CGAUGAUUCCAGAUGGAAAAAAUGGAAAUGCUUCAUCCAUGUGCUAGUUCAGCCUGUGAGAUGCUGGUGAGCCCACCUCCAGGCACUCACGGACUCCCCACCCAUUGAGUGUGGCCUGGAUUUAGUGACUCAAUCAAACGUGACAGAGUGCUGGGGUGUCAUUUUCAAGACUGGGUUAUGUGAAGACUGCAGCCUCCAUCUGGGGUGCUCUCUCUUGGAUUGCUUGCUCAGGGAUGUGGGGAGAGCUGCUGUGCUGGGAGGCUGCCCAUGUGAGUUGACUUGGAUGUGAACCUUCUGUGGCCUGCCAAUAGCCACGUGUUUGUGUGGACACUGCUGUCAUUUCUCUUGGGAAGAUACUGAGGAGUCAGAUUGCUGGAUCCCGUGAAGAAUGUGCACCUGGGAUUGGCUCUUGCUUCCUAAGGAACCUCAAAAAAGCUGCAACCUAUUGGAGACUUUUGAUUCAGCAUCAAGGAUAUGCGUGAGACUUUGGUUCUUUUCUGUUGGGACACAGUUGAUUCUGACUGUCUUAAAGUUAGGCUUUUCUAAAGAUUUAGACUAAUAAAUUAUUUGAAUGGGACAA
RNAcentral lists this long non-coding RNA (580 nucleotides) under Homo sapiens (human). RNAcentral describes it as "MYO16 antisense RNA 1". Lineage: Eukaryota; Metazoa; Chordata; Mammalia; Primates; Hominidae. The record is from RNAcentral.